AAACCGGCGUGAGCCAGGUCGGUUUCUAUCCUAAGAUAGUUAANACUCUUAUUAGUACGAAAGGACCAUAAGGGUAAAAUAUUUUUANUANUAUUUGAUUUAUAUUAAUUUAAUNUUAA
This 119-nucleotide ribosomal RNA is filed under the name Basutacris sp. 65_Basu_62. RNAcentral's name for it is "partial 16S ribosomal RNA". The record is from RNAcentral. Lineage: Eukaryota; Metazoa; Arthropoda; Insecta; Orthoptera; Lentulidae.